UACGUAGGGGGCAAGCGUUGUCCUGAUUUAUUGGGCGUAAAGAGCGUGUAGGCGGUUUGGUAGGUCCGUUGUGAAAACUCGAGGCUCAACCUCGAGAGGUCGGUGGAAACCGUUUGGCUAGAGUCCGGAAGAGGAGAGUGGAAUUCCCGGUGUAGCGGUGAAAUGCGCAGAUAUCGGGAGGAACAUCAGUGGCGAAGGCGGCUGCCUGGCCCAAUACUGACACUCAGGUGCGACAGCGUGGGGAGCAAACAGG
Molecule: ribosomal RNA, 253 nt
Filed under: uncultured bacterium
Lineage: Bacteria
Description: partial 16S ribosomal RNA
Rfam family: Bacterial small subunit ribosomal RNA
Source: RNAcentral